UACAGAGGGUGCGAGCGUUGUCCGGAAUCACUGGGCGUAAAGGGCGCGUAGGCGGCUUGGUAAGCGUGCGGUGAAAGCUCAGGGCUCAACCCUGAGUCUGCCGUGCGAACUGCCGAGCUGGAGCACGGUAGAGGCACAUGGAAUUCCGGGUGUAGCGGUGGAAUGCGUAGAGAUCCGGAAGAACACCGGUGGCGAAGGCGGUGUGCUGGGCCGUUGCUGACGCUGAGGCGCGACAGCGUGGGGAGCAAACAGG
RNAcentral lists this ribosomal RNA (253 nucleotides) under uncultured bacterium. RNAcentral's name for it is "partial 16S ribosomal RNA". It matches the Rfam family "Bacterial small subunit ribosomal RNA", at positions 524 to 776 of the family's 1533-position model. The record is from RNAcentral.